UACGUAGGGUGCAAGCGUUGUCCGGAAUUAUUGGGCGUAAAGAGCUCGUAGGCGGUCUGUUGCGUCCGCUGUGAAAACUCGGGGCUUAACCCCGAGCCUGCAGUGGAUACGGGCAGACUAGAGGUAGGUAGGGGAGAAUGGAAUUCCCGGUGUAGCGGUGAAAUGCGCAGAUAUCGGGAGGAACACCGGUGGCGAAGGCGGUUGCCUGGAGCUUUGCUGACGCUGAGGCGCGAAAGCGUGGGGAGCGAUCCGG
Molecule: ribosomal RNA, 253 nt
Filed under: uncultured bacterium
Lineage: Bacteria
Description: partial 16S ribosomal RNA
Rfam family: Bacterial small subunit ribosomal RNA
Source: RNAcentral